CCGGUNCCUGCAAGAAAAAGCGCCNGGCNUAACCUACGUGCCCAGCAAGCCGCGGUAAUACGUANGGGCGCAAGCGGUGUCCGGAAUUAUUGGGCCGUAAAAAGCUUGUAGGUGGCUUGUCGCGUCUGCCGUGAAAACCCNAGGCUCAAACCUCCGGGCGUGCGGUNGGUACGGGCAGGCUAGAGUGUGGUAGGGGAGACUGGAACUCCUGGUGUAGCGGUGAAAUGCGCAGAUAUCAGGAAGAACACCGAUGGCGAAGGCAGGUCUCUGGGCCAUUACUGACACUGAGAAGCGAAAGCAUGGGUAGCGAACAGGAUUAGAUACCCUGGUAGUCCAUGCCGUAAACGUUGGGCACUAGGUGUGGGGGACAUUCCACGUUUUCCGCGCCGUAGCUAACGCAUUAAGUGCCCCGCCUGGGGAGUACGGCCGCAAGGCUAAAACUCAAAGGAAUUGACGGGGGCCCGCACAAGCGGCGGAGCAUGCUGAUUAAUUCGAUGCAACGCGAAGAACCUUACCAAGGCUUGACAUGCACUGGACGGCUGCAGAGAUGUGGCUUUCUUUGGACUGGUGCACAGGUGGUGCAUGGUUGUCGUCAGCUCGUGUCGUGAGAUGUUGGGUUAAGUCCCGCAACGAGCGCAACCCUCGUUCUAUGUUGCCAGCACGUNAUGGUGGGGACUCAUAGGAGACUGCCGGGGUCAACUCGGAGGAAGGUGGGGACGACGUCAAAUCAUCAUGCCCCUUAUGUCUUGGGCUUCAAGCAUGCUACAAUGGUCGGUACAAUGGGUUGCGAAACUGUGAGGUGGAGCGAAUCCCAAAAAGCCGGCCUCAGUUCGGAUUGGGGUCUGCAACUCGACCCCAUGAAGUCGGAGUCGCUAGUAAUCGCAGAUCAGCAACGCUGCGGUGAAU
RNAcentral lists this ribosomal RNA (906 nucleotides) under uncultured Brachybacterium sp. RNAcentral describes it as "bacterial SSU rRNA". It matches the Rfam family "Bacterial small subunit ribosomal RNA", at positions 472 to 1367 of the family's 1533-position model. Lineage: Bacteria; Bacillati; Actinomycetota; Actinomycetes; Micrococcales; Dermabacteraceae. The record is from RNAcentral.